This is a long non-coding RNA of Canis lupus familiaris (dog), 1058 nucleotides long. RefSeq lists it as uncharacterized. NCBI's taxonomy places the organism in Eukaryota, Metazoa, Chordata, Mammalia, Carnivora, Canidae. The transcript is spliced from 5 exons. The record is from RefSeq and is a predicted model, not a curated record.
GCCCACUUCUUUGUCUGGGAAGCCGAGGGCUGGAAUUCCGUUCGGACGGCCCCUUAAAGACCCAGACAGGGGACGCCUCUGGUUUCAGCAGCUUCCUCGGCGGAGUUAUUGAUUGCAGGCAGCAACAAUCCCUCCGGGUGAUUUGGGUGGAAAGUGAAUCCGCGCUGGCUGGGCGUUCUCAGAGGCGCAACAGCCGCAACGCCAUCCAAUUAUUGCCGGUCGUCCCCUCCAACACCGCUCUCCACCUCCAGACUCCGCUCCCUGCCCAGCGCCACUUCCCCCCACCCACUUUUCUCAGAGCGGACCGACCUACCUAUUCCUUCUCAGCCCGUCUCCGCUUCCCCCCCACCCACUUUCCUUGGUGCGGACGGAGCCGAGGGGGCGGGGGCUCCCUCCCGGGAGCGUUUCUAGAGCUCGGAGGCAGCUAGUAGGGGUUUCAUUGUCCACAUGUUUAAAGUCUAACAGAAAAAAACAUCACUGGAUGUGAAGUUGGAGGACAGAUCCAAGUCUACAUCUACAUCCUCAUGUUGGUGACCUUGGGGCACCACUUUCAGAUAAAAACAUAGACCUGAAUGGCAUCAUCCAGUAUCCAAGGAAACCAUAUGACUCAUGGAGAUGAAGGUUUUCAAGAAGGAUUUCCAGACUAAAGAUCGGCUAUAAGGAGUAGAAUACUAAGGUCUCUAAGUCCACUGCUGACAGGAAAAUCUUCAGUGGUUCCAGAGACAAGCUGCUGGAAAUCCUGCACAUUUAUCUUCUAAAAGGAAGUAAACUGAUUAGGAUAGUGGUCCCUUCAGAAAGAACCUCCCCUAAAACUUUAAAGGACUCCAAAUUAAGCCAUGUCCAUAUCUGGGACCCUAAAGUGGCUCAUAAAAGUUAGGGACCGCCUGCUUAAUGUUAGGUGAUUGCAAAAGCUUUAAGAUUCAAAGGGGGGAGUGAAGGUGGGGAAGGUGAUGGUGAAUAAAUUGUGAGAGCCUCCCAAAUAACAGGAUGUCUCUUUAAUUCCAAGCCUCAUGUUCUAUCUCAUAUUGUAUCUUUCAAUUAAAAAAAAAAAAGGAAAA